CAGUGGUGAAAUAUUCGGGCUCAACCGGGAUACUGCCAUUGAUACUGUAUAGCUGGAAUAUGGUUGCUGUGGGUGGAAUGUGUGGUGUAGCGGUGAAAUGCAUAGAUAUCACACAGAAUAUCGAUUGCGAAGGCAACUCACAAAGCCAUUAUUGACGCUGAUGCACGAAAGUGUGGGGAUCAAACAGGAUUAGAUACCCUGGUAGUCCACACUGUAAACGAUGAUAACUAGCUGUCGGCGAUAGAUAGUCGGUGGCUAAGCGAAAGCGAUAAGUUAUCCACCUGGGGAGUACGACCGCAAGGUUGAAACUCAAAGGAAUUGACGGGGGCCCGCACAAGCGGAGGAACAUGUGGUUUAAUUCGAUGAUACGCGAGGAACCUUACCCGGGCUCGAACGGUGCAGGAAUAUGGUAGAGAUAUCAUAGCUAGCAAUAGUCUGUAUCGAGGUGCUGCAUGGUUGUCGUCAGCUCGUGCCGUGAGGUGUCGGCUUAAGUGCCAUAACGAGCGCAACCCUUGUCGUUAGUUACCAUCAAGUAAAGUUGGGGACUCUAGCGAGACUGCCACCGUAAGGUGUGAGGAAGGGGGGGAUGACGUCAAAUCAGCACGGCCCUUACGUCCGGGGCGACACACGUGUUACAAUGGUAGGUACAGAGGGGCGCUAUCCAGUGAUGGAGUGCGAAUCUCAAAAACCUAUCUCAGUUCGGAUUGGAGUCUGCAACUCGACUCCAUGAAGUUGGAUUCGCUAGUAAUCGCGCAUCAGCCAUGGCGCGGUGAAUACGUUCCCGGGCCUUGUACACACCGCCCGUCAAGCCAUGGAAGCCGGGGGUGCCUGAAGUUCGUGACCGCAAGGAGCGACCUAGGGCAAAACUGGUAACUGGGGCUAAGUCGUAACAAGGUAACC
This 900-nucleotide ribosomal RNA is filed under the name uncultured Bacteroidota bacterium. Its description in RNAcentral is "bacterial SSU rRNA". It matches the Rfam family "Bacterial small subunit ribosomal RNA", at positions 589 to 1501 of the family's 1533-position model. Lineage: Bacteria; Pseudomonadati; Bacteroidota. The record is from RNAcentral.